Molecule: small nucleolar RNA, 86 nt
Organism: Schizosaccharomyces osmophilus
Lineage: Eukaryota; Fungi; Ascomycota; Schizosaccharomycetes; Schizosaccharomycetales; Schizosaccharomycetaceae
Source: RefSeq, a predicted model, not a curated record
UCAUGAUGAUACAACAAACUCAUUCAGUUCUGCUUCUGAGCCAAAUCUGAAGAAACCUAAAUACCAAGAAACUCUCACAUAUCUGA